This 469-nucleotide ribosomal RNA is filed under the name uncultured bacterium. Its description in RNAcentral is "partial 16S ribosomal RNA". It matches the Rfam family "Bacterial small subunit ribosomal RNA", at positions 28 to 507 of the family's 1533-position model. The record is from RNAcentral.
GAUGAACGCUGGCGGCGUGCUUAACACAUGCAAGUCGAACGGUGAACACGGAGCUUGCUCUGUGGGAUCAGUGGCGAACGGGUGAGUAACACGUGAGCAACCUGCCCCUGACUCUGGGAUAAGCGCUGGAAACGGCGUCUAAUACUGGAUAUGUGACGUGACCGCAUGGUCUGCGUUUGGAAAGAUUUUUCGGUUGGGGAUGGGCUCGCGGCCUAUCAGCUUGUUGGUGAGGUAAUGGCUCACCAAGGCGUCGACGGGUAGCCGGCCUGAGAGGGUGACCGGCCACACUGGGAUUGAGACACGGCCCAGACUCCUACGGGAGGCAGCAGUGGGGAAUAUUGCACAAUGGGCGAAAGCCUGAUGCAGCAACGCCGCGUGAGGGAUGACGGCCUUCGGGUUGUAAACCUGUUUUAGCAGGGAAGAAGCGAAAGUGACGGUACCUGCAGAAAAAGCGCCGGCUAACUACGUG